GCGGCGAAGGGAGAGUAACGCGUAGAUAUCUGCCUCGAGGCCCGGGAUAGCGGCGGGAAACUGCCGGUAAUACCGGAUAACAUCUCCGGAUCAAAGGUGUGAUUCCGCCUCGAGAUGAGUCUGCGUCCUAUUAAUGCUUGUUGGUGUGGUAACGGCGCACCAAGGCGAAGAUGGGUACCGGGUGUGAGAGCAUGGCCCGGCUCACUGGGACUGAGACACUGCCCAGACACCUACGGGUGGCUGCAGUCGAGAAUCUUCGGCAAUGGGCGAAAGCCUGACCGAGCGACGCCGCGUGCGGGAUGAAGGCCCUCGGGUUGUAAACCGCUGUCAGUAGGGAGCAAAUCUCUUGGGGUUAUCCCCUUGAGUUGAGCGAUCUUCAGAGGAAGUACGGGCUAAGUUCGUGCCAGCAGCCGCGGUAGGACGAACCGUACGAACGUUAUUCGGAAUCACUGGGCUUAAAGAGUCCGUAGGCGGCCGUGUAUGUGGGAUGUGAAAGCCCUCGUCUCGACCGAGGAAUUGCGUUCCAAACCACAUGGCUUGAGGAGGAUAGAGGUGAGCGGAACUGAUGGUGGAGCGGUGAAAUGCGUUGAUAUCAUCAGGAACACCAGAGGCGAAGGCGGCUCACUGGGUCCUUUCUGACGCUGAGGGACGAAAGCUAGGGGAGCAAACGGGAUUAGAUACCCCGGUAGUCCUAGCUGUAAACGAUGAGCACUAGAUCGAAGGGGAC
RNAcentral lists this ribosomal RNA (727 nucleotides) under uncultured bacterium. Its description in RNAcentral is "bacterial SSU rRNA". It matches the Rfam family "Bacterial small subunit ribosomal RNA", at positions 95 to 831 of the family's 1533-position model. The record is from RNAcentral.